Molecule: ribosomal RNA, 682 nt
Filed under: Dematioscypha richonis
Lineage: Eukaryota; Fungi; Ascomycota; Leotiomycetes; Helotiales; Hyaloscyphaceae
Description: SSU rRNA
Rfam family: Bacterial small subunit ribosomal RNA (bases 106-682)
Source: RNAcentral
AGUAAAAUUCUUUUACGUCUAUUCAUAGUAAAACAUUACUAUUUUAUUAUAUAGCCUUUCAGUAAUGUAAUUAUUGGAGGGACUGAGAUAAAUUAUUCUCGUAAACAAGUAUAAUAUCGAUUUUAUCGAAUAAAGUUCUAGAUAGUGUUUAAUGAUAAUGACAGUACACAUAUCUAUAAGUCUUGACCAAAUUACGUGCCAGCAGUCGCGGCAAUACGUAGAAGACUAGUGUUAUUCAUCUUUAAUAGGUUUAAAGGGUACCUAAACGGUAUAAUUAGUCUUAAAUAAGAUACAAUUAUACUAGAGUUAUAUAUGAGGAGGGGAGUAUUUAUGGAGUUAGAGUUAAUAUUUUUUUAUACCAUAAGGACUGGUAACGGCGAAAGCGACCUUUUAUGUAUUAACUGACGUUGAGGGACGAAGGCUUGGGUAGCAAACAGGAUUAGAUACCCUAGUAGUCCAAGCAGAUAAUGAUGAAUGCCAUAGAUUAGAUAUUUAUUUAAUCUAUAAAUGAAAGUGUAAGCAUUUCACCUCAAGAGUAACGCGGCAACGCCGGAACUGAAAUCAUUAGACCGUAUUUGAAACCAGUAGUGAAGUAUGUUAUUUAAUUCGUAGGUACGCGAAAACCUUACCACNAACUUGAAUAUUAUCUUAUCAAGAUAUUACANGUGUUGCACGGCUGUCU